RNAcentral lists this long non-coding RNA (1054 nucleotides) under Pogona vitticeps (central bearded dragon). RNAcentral describes it as "lncRNA (ENSPVIG00000009742.1)". Lineage: Eukaryota; Metazoa; Chordata; Lepidosauria; Squamata; Agamidae. The record is from RNAcentral.
CUAAAUGAUUUUUAAUCUUAUCCAUACUUUCUAGAAGUCCAGUUGCCAUGAUUCAACUUCCAGAUAACAGAUUAAAUGUGGAUGAAAAACCCUGAUCAACAAGAGUAACCAUGCCCAGAUCUGAGUCAGCUUGGCCAUUAUGACACAUCUUCCAUUGUGACAUCACAGCCCUGCCUGCUUACAUGUCAGAUGAGCAGAGGUAUCCUCACAACCCUGUGCAUCAGUAUUAGUGCUGAUACUCCAUGAGAGCAGUUUUUUCUUGUUUUUUUCUUGCUGCUUUUGGAUCACUUUUAUUGCUGUAGUUUGAAUGCUACUUAUAGGUGCUGAUAAUUUGUUUUUUAGUUGUUUAGAACUAUUGAGUAAUUUUGAUAUUAUUAUUUGCUGUUUAUUUCUGUAAAAGAGAGAAACAUGGGUAAAAAGUAAGUAUGUCUUUUAUAUGGCUUGUAUAAUCCAGCAGCCUAAAUUAUAAUAUUAGUACUGGUGGAAGUGGUAAACCCUGUUUCUCACCUUCUCUCCAAACUAUGAGUGAUCUUCUUAUGAAAAAUGACAGCAAGAGUUGCUCUUGUUUUUUCAAAAAAGAAUCUGUGAAUGAACAGAGAAGAGAACAUGGCAACCCACUUCCCAACGUUUCCGAAGAAGACAACCCAUUCCCCACAACCCCUGAAGGAGAAAAAGACAACCCAUUGCCCAACAUCCCUGAAGAAGACAACCCACUUCCCAAUUUCCUUGAAGAAGAUGACCACCCACUCCCCCAAAUCCCCAAAGAGAAAGUGCCAAUGGGUACAGAGUUUUAUGCUUGGAUGUUGUAUUCUGUAUGUUCCUGGCAGUGGGAAACACUCUUCUGUCUGUAACUGGUCAAAUGUUUUGUCUGAACCUAAUCCAGGGCUAAUCGUGAGGCAAAGGAAGAUGUCUGUUUCGGUUAGCUGAUGCUCUGGGGGGCACAGAGGUGUUGAAACACAGAGCUAUUUGUAUGAGGGAGCCUGCUCUAUGCUCCCUAAGUUAGCCUGCUGCACUCAGCUGUGGUGGAACAUGUCCCAUCGUUAGCAUUAAAGAA